Long non-coding RNA from Sycon ciliatum, 252 nucleotides. RefSeq lists it as uncharacterized. The transcript is spliced from 3 exons. The record is from RefSeq and is a predicted model, not a curated record. NCBI's taxonomy places the organism in Eukaryota, Metazoa, Porifera, Calcarea, Leucosolenida, Sycettidae.
GCAAAUGAUCACCAUCACCAUCACCAUCACCACCACCAUCACCAUCACCACCGGCUCCACAUGUUUAGCAGUAAACACAUUGAAAAACUUGUCAACCCUUCAGUUUCUGGAUCUAUCAAACAAUAAUAUCCACCAAAUAAGACCAGGUGCAUUCAAUGGCCUUCGCAAUCUACACAAGCUUGUACUUGCAGAGAAUUAUCUUAAGGAGAUACGUCCUUCGACUUUCAAUGGCCUGCUCAAUCUCAGAAACCU